UUAGGGUUAGGGUUAAAAAGUUGUUGUAGGAUUGACUACUGACCACUAGCUGACGUGGAUGCAUGCAUGCGCACCGGGAACCUUCUAGAAGACGAGAAGUUCAUAGAAGCUGCCACGUUUUAAUUUUUGGUGCCAAUACUUGUUCUCAGAAACUAAGUCCUUUUCAUUGUUUGGAUUUCCCAGUUGGUAUUUGAAACUUCCUAUUGCAUCAAGCCACAACUACAAGAUCAUGGGUAUUUCGAACUUAUUAAAGGUGCUCCUCCAUUUCUCUA
This is a long non-coding RNA of Octopus sinensis (East Asian common octopus), 272 nucleotides long. RefSeq lists it as uncharacterized. NCBI's taxonomy places the organism in Eukaryota, Metazoa, Mollusca, Cephalopoda, Octopoda, Octopodidae. The record is from RefSeq and is a predicted model, not a curated record. The transcript is spliced from 3 exons.